This is a non-coding RNA of Caenorhabditis japonica, 1076 nucleotides long. Lineage: Eukaryota; Metazoa; Nematoda; Chromadorea; Rhabditida; Rhabditidae. The record is from Rfam.
GUCGGGAGGCAUCUCUAUCUCGUGGCAACACGAGAGCUUAUGCCCUAUGUAUGGCCUUGGCGUCGUAGUGAAUUCUGCGGCGCUUGCCAACGCCAGAUCACUCUGGUUCAAUGUCGGGGCGCUAAAUCACUUGCAUACGACUUGGUCUCUUGGUCAAGGUGUUGUAUUCAGUAGAGCAGUCUCUUUAUACUGCGAUCUGUUGAGACUAUCCUCUGAUUGAGUUUUUUGUUUAAAAAGAUAGUUAGAGAGUAUUAGGAACGUAUUGUUGCUUGAUACUAAAAGGUUCUUAAAGCGCGCCCUUGUGGCGCGCGCGCGGGGGUCGCAUCUUAAAAAAAACCAUUUUCGCCCGGGCGUUGGCUUUUGUUUGCGUGAACACUCGUAGGCGAGUGUACGUGUAAUACAUGGGCCCACGCGCGACUUCCAAUCAUCAUCUCCACACCCGUGGAUUGAUACAUUUUCCACCACUUUUCCGAACCCCCAGGCCCACCACCACCUCGAUCAGUCACUUUUCGUCGCGGUCCCCACUGCCAGCCCGAAAAAAAAUUUUUUCCACCACUGGCCGUUCUUAGUUGGUGGAGUGAUUUGUCUGGUUUAUUCCGAUAACGAGCGAGACUCUAGCCUGCUAAAUAGUCGACGAAUCUUCGGGUUCGUAUAACUUCUUAGAGGGAUAAGCGGUGUUUAGCCGCACGAGAUUGAGCGAUAACAGGUCUGUGAUGCCCUUAGAUGUCCGGGGCUGCACGCGUGCUACACUGGUGGAGUCAGCGGGUUUUUCCUAUGCCGAAAGGUAUCGGUAAACCGUUGAACUUCUUCCAUGUCCGGGAUAGGGUAUUGUAAUUAUUACCCUUAAACGAGGAAUGCCUAGUAAGUGUGAGUCAUCAGCUCACGUUGAUUACGUCCCUGCCCUUUGUACACACCGCCCGUCGCUAUCCGGGACUGAACUGAUUCGAGAAGAGUGGGGACUGUGGCUGCGAGGUUUUACCACUUCGCAGUUGCGGAAACCAUUUUUAUCGCAUUGGUUUGAACCGGGUAAAAGUCGUAACAAGGUAGCUGUAGGUGAACCUGCAGCUGGAUCAUCG